AUUGAACGCUGGCGGCAUGCCUUACACAUGCAAGUCGAACGGCAGCGGGGACUUCGGUCCGCCGGCGAGUGGCGAACGGGUGAGUAAAGUAUCGGAACGUACCUUUCAGUGGGGAUAACGUAGCGAAAGUUACGCUAAUACCGCAUAUUCUGUGAGCAGGAAAGCAGGGGAUCGCAAGACCUUGCGCUGAUUGAGCGGCCGAUAUCAGAUUAGCUAGUUGGUGAGGUAAAGGCUCACCAAGGCGACGAUCUGUAGCGGGUCUGAGAGGAUGAUCCGCCACACUGGAACUGAGACACGGUCCAGACUCCUACGGGAGGCAGCAGUGGGGAAUUUUGGACAAUGGGGGCGAACCCUGAUCCAGCCAUGCCGCGUGAGUG
RNAcentral lists this ribosomal RNA (377 nucleotides) under uncultured bacterium. RNAcentral's name for it is "bacterial SSU rRNA". It matches the Rfam family "Bacterial small subunit ribosomal RNA", at positions 30 to 407 of the family's 1533-position model. The record is from RNAcentral.